Molecule: ribosomal RNA, 160 nt
Filed under: uncultured Latescibacterota bacterium
Lineage: Bacteria; Pseudomonadati; Candidatus Latescibacterota
Description: uncultured Latescibacteria bacterium partial 16S ribosomal RNA
Rfam family: Bacterial small subunit ribosomal RNA
Source: RNAcentral
AAUGGCAGGUACAGAGGGCUGCGAAGCCGCGAGGUGGAAGCCGAAUACCCAGAAAACCUGUCUCAGUCCGGAUUGAAGUCUGCAACUCGACUUCAUGAAGGCGGAAUCGCUAGUAACCGCGAAUCAGCAGGUCCGCGGUCCGAAUACGUUCCCGGGCCUU